This 77-nucleotide small RNA is filed under the name Sphingomonas sp. OV641. Its description in RNAcentral is "Makes More Granules Regulator RNA (mmgR)". It matches the Rfam family "Makes More Granules Regulator RNA (mmgR)". From Rfam's summary of the family: SuhB later renamed mmgR (makes more granules regulator) was a putative non-coding RNA found multiple times in the Agrobacterium tumefaciens genome and related alpha-proteobacteria. Other non-coding RNAs uncovered in the same analysis include: speF, ybhL, metA, and serC. Several studies inSinorhizobium meliloti showed that suhB element is indeed a non-coding RNA:firstly it was detected on Northern blot and called Sm8RNA, secondly in an RNAseq study referred to as SmelC689. The record is from Rfam by way of RNAcentral. Lineage: Bacteria; Pseudomonadati; Pseudomonadota; Alphaproteobacteria; Sphingomonadales; Sphingomonadaceae.
CAGGCGUGCCUUUCAGGCAUCCUCUCCUAAAAACUUUCAGGGCCGGUCCACGUGACCGGCCCCUUUUUUUGUCCGUU